RNAcentral lists this ribosomal RNA (253 nucleotides) under uncultured bacterium. RNAcentral describes it as "partial 16S ribosomal RNA". It matches the Rfam family "Bacterial small subunit ribosomal RNA", at positions 524 to 776 of the family's 1533-position model. The record is from RNAcentral.
UACGUAGGUGGCAAGCGUUGUCCGGAUUUACUGGGCGUAAAGCGCGCGCAGGCGGACUGGUCAGUCCGGGGUGAAAUCUCACGGCUCAACCGUGAGUGGUCCCUGGAUACUGCCAGCCUUGAGGUGUCUAGAGGAGAGCGGAAUUCCUGGUGUAGCGGUGAAAUGCGCAGAUAUCAGGAAGAACACCCGUGGCUAAGGCGGUUCUCUAGUACGGUACUGACGCUGAGACGCGAAAGCGUGGGGAGCGAACAGG